Molecule: long non-coding RNA, 1670 nt
Organism: Cygnus olor (mute swan)
Lineage: Eukaryota; Metazoa; Chordata; Aves; Anseriformes; Anatidae
Exons: 2
Source: RefSeq, a predicted model, not a curated record
CCCUCUCCCCUUCUCCCUCCUGGCCUCCCUCCCCCCCCCCCUUCCUCCUUCCCUCUCUCCCUGCCUCUCUCGGGAGGUAGGUGCGGAGCCUCCGCCCCGCAGCUGGCAGCGGGUUUCUCCCUUUCCAUCCCUCCCUCGUCCACCCUUCUGUCCGUCUUGUCCGUCCUCCUGUCCGCAGCGAGGACGUGCGUGCAGGUGGGAGAGUGCCUUUCCCAAAAGGUCACCCGUCUCCCGGCUGCCUUCGAAAGUAGCGUGUAGUUGCAAAGAAAUAUUACCCCGCUUUAUUAAAUCAUCUCUCUCCGGGGGCGUGCUCCAAAGCCUCUUGAAGUCCACGGGAGUCUUUGAAUAGUUCGAGACGCGUCGUGGGGAAAUGCACGCUCUGCCGUGUUGGAAGGGAGACGGCGGUGCCAAGUGACAGCCGAGCGAGGCAGAGGGAAGGAAGGCAGGGGAGCGGGCAACCCACGGAAAUGGGCGACUGCACAAUGCUGUGAAGAAGGGACAUGACGCCUGGCAGGAGGCAGGGUGCGGCACUAGAAGGGCUGUUUCCCUUUUCCCCCUUCCCAACCUCACAAACAACCCGAGAGUCCCUGAUUGCAGUGGGCUAAAACGUUUCUAAACCCAGCCGUCGUCAUUAAUAUUAGAAUGCUUUUAGCAGAACAUGGCCUCGCUUCGAAAACAGGAAGGCUCCACACGUUUUUGUCCUUAAUCCAUCAUGUAUCAACGCCGAAACCUCCAGCCUGGCGCAUGGCGGUGGAGUGUGAGGGUCAGAAGUUCACAACAGUUUAAAUCUGAAUUAUUUAGCAAGCACACACAUGACACUCUUCCGAUUUCCACGCAGCCUUUUUUUUUUCUCCACCCCCCACCCCAGUUCAUUUCCUUCCCUCUAAACACAAGAGCCCCGUUCGGUGUUAUUUGCCCUGGCGCGGUGUUAUUUGCCCAGCAUAUCCAGUUGACCCAGAAUCCAGCAAAGCCGAGGAGAAGAAGUCUCGAUGGGACUGUUGACCUAACAAGUAGCAUGUCAGUCUCCCGGUGGCAUUUGAAUGUUCUUGCAGCGAAUGCUUUGAGACAGGAGAGAGCAUAAAGCCGAGUUUCUUUGGAAUCCUUAAUUAGACACAGUGAUUUUGGAGGACUGGUUUCUGCCGCUAUCCUCUAGUGCCUGGUACUUUGUUUUGCGACCUUGAGGUUAAGGGUACCAACCAGCCCUGUUUAUUUUUAAUAAAAUCUUACAGUUAUAUGAGACAGUUCUAGGUUUUAUUUAUUUUUAGCAUAAGUGCUUCCAUCUUAUCUGCCUUGCAGGUUUAUAGUAAGGAUUUGGCUAAUAUUUGGACAGCACUUUUAAGCUAUGAAGCUCUAUGGGUCUAUUAUACUGACCAUUUUCUGGGGUUUUCGUUUUAGGAGUGUACUUUCGUACAAGAUAAGAGUGUGCUCUUUCAGUUCAGAUAGAUAGAGCUCAAAUCCUGACCUUAGUUUUCCCCUCAAAUUUUAUUAAAUGCCCGAUUUACAAAUGCUGACAUAGGGUCAGAUUCUGAUUUUACUUCUAGGUAUAAAUUUCAAAGAAUUUCUUGAUCCUCAGUGACUUUAUUCUAAAUCUAAACCAAUUUAACUCAAAAUUCAAGCCGUAAUUGUCACAAAGAAAAAGCAUAUAAUUACAUUAAAUACAGUAUUCUACA